This is a long non-coding RNA of Setaria italica (foxtail millet), 1228 nucleotides long. RefSeq lists it as uncharacterized. NCBI's taxonomy places the organism in Eukaryota, Viridiplantae, Streptophyta, Magnoliopsida, Poales, Poaceae. The record is from RefSeq and is a predicted model, not a curated record. The transcript is spliced from 2 exons.
GGAUUUUGAUGUUUCCAUUUUGUUCUCAAGAUUAGAGUUCUAUAAAAACUCCGUCCUGUUUGCCAAUCCAAUUGCUGGUUUACUAGUUGGACCACUGGUUCAAAGAAUAGACAAGAAUGUCCAAAAUUUCUAGAAGGUUACAGCAAUACUUAAAGAAAUGCUGAUAUGACAAGCAGAAUUUGCUCAAGACACUUGCUCAAGACACUUGGACAUGAGGUUCGAACCCUAGGUGCAAUCCGUGUGGGCGGCGAGAUUCCUUGCGGUGGCUGGCCGUCGGCGGCGAGAUUCCUUGCGGUGGCUGGCCGUCGGCGGCGAGAUGGAAGGAGAUCCGACGGGGGAGGAAGUGGAUCCGGCCGGCGGCUCCCUCGGGCGGGGCGUGGCAGCGUCGGCGAGCCCCCCACCCCCCCCCCCCCCCCCCGGCGGGUUGCGCAGGCAGCGCCGGCGUCGAGCUCCCCCGGCCUGGUUGCAGAGGCGGCGGCGAGCCCCUUUGGGCGGGGCGCGAAGGCUGCGGGCAAGAGCCCCGUCAGCUAGCGGGCGAAGGCUGUCGUGAACCCUCCCAGGUAGUGCGCGCAGACGGCGGCGACGAGUUCCCCGGGUGGGUUGCGCAGGCGGCGCCGGUCCCCCGGGCGUGUUGCUACGCGCAGACGGCGGCGACGAGUUCCCCCGGGUGGGUUGCGCAGGCGGCGCCGGUCCCCCGGGCGUGUUGCAGAACCGUCGGGGAGCCCCCUGGUGGCAAUUCCAAUACUAUACUACGGGCAGGAACUAAUUAAUGGUAAUUUUGCGACGGCUUUUCUGCCGCCGCCGCCAAUUUAUUACACCGGACCUCCGCGGAAUCUUUCACCUCCUUGGAGACCAGAUGACAAGGAUGGGCACUAUGUUUCCGUGGUUGGAGAGAAUCUGAUACUAAGAUGUAUAUUUUCAUUAUUUCCAUAGCUCAAUGAUGUUUAAUUUACUUUCCUUGCACUAGGUUGCUUGUUUCUGGCUUGCAUCUGAGCCUCUCUGACCUAUAGCUUGUUGAGAUGGAUUUUCUUUCAGAUGUUAUCUGUUACUGUAAGUUGCCAUGUUGGUGGUGCAGUUUUCAUUUCUGUAUUCUGUUCUGUAGUGAUCUGGUUCUUAGUUGGAAUGUUUAGUUUCCACUUGAAUGUACAGGAUGAACAAGCUCUUUUUUGCUCUUGUUCCCAGUGCUUUCAUUGUUUUCAUGCUAUAUUUAUCGUUUCAUUUUGUGUCA